This 252-nucleotide ribosomal RNA is filed under the name uncultured bacterium. RNAcentral describes it as "partial 16S ribosomal RNA". It matches the Rfam family "Bacterial small subunit ribosomal RNA", at positions 524 to 776 of the family's 1533-position model. The record is from RNAcentral.
UAUGAAGGGGGCUAGCGUUGCCCGGAAUCACUGGGCGUAAAGCGCACGUAGGCGGCUUCUUAAGUCAGGGGUGAAAUCCUGGAGCUCAACUCCAGAACUGCCUUUGAUACUGAGGAGCUCGAGUCCGGGAGAGGUGAGUGGAACUCCGAGUGUAGAGGUGAAAUUCGUAGAUAUUCGGAAGAACACCAGUGGCGAAGGCGGCUCACUGGCCCGGUACUGACGCUGAGGUGCGAAAGCGUGGGAGCAAACAGG